CUGAGGGUUUGAUCCUGGCUCAGGGCGAACGCUGGCGGCGUGCCUAACACAUGCAAGUCGUGGGGGAAAGGGAGGCUUCGGCCUCCCGAGUACACCGGCAGACGGGUGAGUAACACGUGGGUAACCUGCCCCCAGGUCCGGGAUAACCUCGGGAAACUGGGGCUAAUACCGGAUAAUGUGCGUGGGCGCAAGCUCACGCACCAAAGGGGGCCUCUGCAUAGCAAGCUCCUGCCUGGGGAGGGGCCCGCGGCCCAUCAGGUAGUUGGUGGGGUAACGGCCCACCAAGCCUACGACGGGUAGCCGGCCUGAGAGGGUGGUCGGCCACACGGGCACUGAGACACGGGCCCGACUCCUACGGGAGGCAGCAGUGGGGAAUCUUGGGCAAUGGGCGCAAGCCUGACCCAGCGACGCCGCGUGGGGGAAGAAGGCCUUCGGGUCGUAAACCCCUG
RNAcentral lists this ribosomal RNA (449 nucleotides) under Thermosulfurimonas dismutans. RNAcentral's name for it is "bacterial SSU rRNA". It matches the Rfam family "Bacterial small subunit ribosomal RNA", at positions 1 to 435 of the family's 1533-position model. Lineage: Bacteria; Pseudomonadati; Thermodesulfobacteriota; Thermodesulfobacteria; Thermodesulfobacteriales; Thermodesulfobacteriaceae. The record is from RNAcentral.